RNAcentral lists this small nucleolar RNA (79 nucleotides) under Oidiodendron maius Zn. RNAcentral's name for it is "A. fimigatus snoRNA Afu_199". It matches the Rfam family "A. fimigatus snoRNA Afu_199". Lineage: Eukaryota; Fungi; Ascomycota; Leotiomycetes; Myxotrichaceae. The record is from Rfam by way of RNAcentral.
UCAUAUGAUGAGAUCCUUAGCUCUAGAUCUGGAGCUGCACUUGCAGCCACGACCGACAAUCUACCAUGUAUUCUGAUUU